Molecule: transfer RNA, 73 nt
Filed under: Virgisporangium aurantiacum
Lineage: Bacteria; Bacillati; Actinomycetota; Actinomycetes; Micromonosporales; Micromonosporaceae
Description: tRNA-Val
Rfam family: tRNA
About the family: Transfer RNA (tRNA) molecules are approximately 80 nucleotides in length. Their secondary structure includes four short double-helical elements and three loops (D, anti-codon, and T loops). Further hydrogen bonds mediate the characteristic L-shaped molecular structure. tRNAs have two regions of fundamental functional importance: the anti-codon, which is responsible for specific mRNA codon recognition, and the 3' end, to which the tRNAs corresponding amino acid is attached (by aminoacyl-tRNA synthetases). tRNAs cope with the degeneracy of the genetic code in two manners: having more than one tRNA (with a specific anti-codon) for a particular amino acid; and 'wobble' base-pairing, i.e. permitting non-standard base-pairing at the 3rd anti-codon position.
Source: RNAcentral
GCCCGUGUAGCUCAGCGGAAGAGCGCCGUCCUCACACGGCGGACGUCCCAGGUUCGAAUCCUGGUGCGGGUAC